Long non-coding RNA from Pseudopipra pipra, 3785 nucleotides. RefSeq lists it as uncharacterized. The record is from RefSeq and is a predicted model, not a curated record. NCBI's taxonomy places the organism in Eukaryota, Metazoa, Chordata, Aves, Passeriformes, Pipridae. The transcript is spliced from 4 exons.
CUGGAUGAUACCGAAAAGGAACUGGAGGAGGUGCAUGCUGAUCUUGUCAUAGUCAUGCAGGAACUUGAUUUGGCAAAAGCUGAGAGAGAAAAGAGGGUGAAAUAUCAUCUCUAUUACCCAAAGACAGGAUUAGCCAAUUAGGCAUACACGAAUCUCUGUGAACAGAUGGGAUGCAUCUGAAGGUGCUGAUGUAGCUGACUGAUAUCAUUGCAAGGCUGUUGUCAAACCUCUUCAGAAGAUCAUGAACUUUAAAGGAGGUUCUCAAUAACUGGGAAAAAAAAAAUAAAAAUGUCAGACUCAUCAUCAAAAACGGCAAGAAGAUCCAGGAAACUAUGAGCUGGUCUACCUAACCCCAGUGACUGGAUAAGUGAUGGAAUAAAUCCUCUUGGAAGCCAUUUUCAGAAAUGUGAAGAACAAAAUGGUAUUUGGGAAGAACCAACAUACAUUUAGCAUGCGCAAAUCAUGGCAGACCACCUUUAUAUGAUGAGAUGAGUGCUGCUGUUGUGGACAAAAGGGAGGGGCAGUGGAUGGUGUAUGCUUUGACUUUAACAAGGCCUUUUACACACUCCUAUAAAGCCUCCUUAUUAUCAAACUGGUGACAUAUACGCUGGAUAAACGGAAAACGAGUUAGAUGGAAAAUUGAUUGGACUGCCAAGCUCAAAGAACUAUGAUAAGUGGUGUAAAAUUUAUCUGGGGGUCAGUAGCAAGUGGCAUCCUUCAGGGAUCGGUACUGGGACUGUUCAGUGUCUGUCUACAUUAAUGGUCUCGAUAUUGGGACACAAUGCAUUCUCAGCAAGUUUGCCCAUGGUACCAAAUUUGGAGAAGCAGUUAAUACACUGGAGGACUGUUGUACAGAAUGACCUGGUCAGGCUGGAGAAAGGCAUUAACAGGAACCUCAUGAAGUUCAACACAAGCGUCAAGUCCUGUGCCAAGAGAGGAGUAAGCUCAUGCAACAGCAGAGGCUUGUGGUAGGCCAAGUGGCAGAAAAAAGAGCUUUGAAAAGUUGAUGGACAACAAGUUGAAUGCUAUUAAGCAGCAAGAAAGUCAGCUACAUACUGAGCAUUGUUAUCAAGAAUGUGGUUUACUGCUACAGGGCUUUGUGUUUCUUGGGCUUCCCCACCGCCCAAUGGAUAAAAACUACAACCAUCACUUCAGUAAAGACUGCUACCAUCACUUCGACCAAAGGACAUCAAAAUUACAACAACCAAGUCUUGCUGCUGGACUCACAGGUUCAAUUCCAGUCCUUCACCCCAGCUCCUCUUCCUCCUCACCAGCUGUCCCUGUUCCCGUACCCAGAGCAUCACAGUGUAUGGGGAAUGGGGUCGUACAGCCUGUCCAUGGCAGUUCCUCUCUGCUUCUCCCUCCUUCUCCCACUUUUCCCCCACUCCAGCAUGGAUCCUCUCCACAGUCUGCAGUCCUGCGUAAACAGCUCCAGUGUAGCUCCUCUGCAUCAGGUUGCAGUCCUUCAGGAAAAAAUCUGCUCUACUGUGGGUUGUCCACAGGCCGCAGUGUGGAUAUCUGCUCUGAUGUGGUCCUCCACCUGAACUGCAAAGAAGCACCUGCUCCACUGUAGUCUUGUCGAUGGAUUACAGGUGAAUCUCUGCUCCAGCUCCUGGAACAUAUCUCUCCUCAUUUUUCUCUGACCUGGGUUCUCAUGCUGUUGUUUCUACAGUUUCAGGGGGCUUUUUGUGUUUCGUUUUGGUUUGUUUUGAUUUAGUUUGGGGUUUUUGUUUCUCCUCCUCUGUUUGUCCAGUGCAUUGCCCUUUCCAAAGUAUAUUUUCCCGGAGUCAUCACCAGCCUUGCUGAUGUGCUCAACUGUGUCCUGGGGUGGGUCCAUUGGGACCAUCUGGAACCAGCUGUGUCCAGCAUGGGACAGCCCUGGCCUCCCCUCACAGAGCCCACCCUGGAGCCCCUGCUGCCAACAUAUUGCCAUGGACACCCAAAACACCUCAGAGUUCACAAAUCCUAGAAGCUGAACUGCCAUGACUCUUCAAAGAUUUUGGUGUUAAUUUUGACCAGCUGAAAAUUCUAUGUGUCACUUUCACAACUUUAUUUGAAACAACUUUCAGGACACAAAACUUAUAGGAUUUAUUUGUCUUGAUCACAAUGAAGAGUUGUUAUUUAAUCUUUGUACUGCUAACAUUGUCUAUGGUUGAUGUCAUCAAGAUAUAGUUCUCAGCUGGUGUUUGAAUAGCCUCAUAUGAACUACUGAAAUUGUUCUUAAAAAACCCCCACAUUUAUGGACUGAUUACUUUUUUUUUUUUUUUAAUAGGACAUUAAUUUGUUCAUAAAUCUAAUUUUCAGAAGUUAUGAGUAACCAGUACAUUGCUUAGUGGGAGUGAUAAGUACCAAACUCCGAGUGACCAAUGUCACAUGGUUUGUUAAGGAUACAGAAGAGGAAACUGAGGGGAGAUCUCAUUGCAGUCUUCAACAUCCUGACAAGGGAAUGCGGACUGUCAAGUACAUACUGACUAAUACCAGUGUGUUCUAGGCAUAGCAAAGGAAUAUCUUCACCAAUUUUCUGCCUGCAGCCUUUCCAAAGGCUUUAUCUUUCUCUCAUUAAUUUCUUCAAAGCCAUUCCUCAGAUUUUUGCCUACCUAUCUUUUAUAAUUAAUUUCUGACUGUUAUUUUGUUUUCCUGUUUCCCCAUGGUUUGCCUCAUCUCUGUAUUUUGUUUUUUUAGAGUAGCCAUGCAUCACUUAGCAUUGCCUAAAGUUAGGGUGAAAAUCUUGUACUAUUUCUGAACACCAGCAGUGACGUUCUUUAGAAAGGUAUGUUGUUAUACUAUAGUGUAAAACUUCCUUAUGUAUGCGUUAAAAUGUAUAUAAACUCCUUGGCUGCCUCUGGGCUGAUUUAUAUGUGAAUUCCCUGACCUUAAUAGAACACAAUUUUUUCCUUUUACUUUGUUUUAUCUUCAUAAGGUAAAAUCAAUUCCCAUCACCACUUAACAUUAAGACUUCUAUUUAACUGUCCAUGUUUUUAGCAAACAUAGUGCAUAUCUUAUAUUUAAAUAUGACGUAUAAAAUGCCCACUUCAUAAAUCAAAUUAAAAGAUAAUACCGUAUUUGUUUCUUGUAAAAUUAUUCAAAUUUGUAGUAUGUCUGUGAAAUUAUUUAUUUGUUUACAUCAUUCCAAACAAUUUUAUUCUGAUACAAAAGAAUAUAAAAGAGAGAGAUUUUUGUUUUGGUUUGAUUUUUUUUUUUCAGAGUUAGGAAAACUAUAGCAAAACUACUGGGUUUGUUUGCUUUCCAAUUUUGUUUUGUGGUGGGAGCCUGUACUGAGUUCCAGGCACCACCAGUCAUUUCAUGGGUGCUUCCAGCUUGAGGUAGAAUUGUUAUUUAACAGAGGUAUGGACAGAGAAAAAAUGAUAGAUUAAGAAGCUAAAAGUCUAAUUUUAAAAAAGUUAUUUAUAUUUUAUACCAGCUUAAACUAGUGUGGUUAAUUAAUAUUAUCUUAAAGCAAUGGGAUUUCAUAUUUUAUUUUUUGCUAAUAAUUUAUAAUUGAAAUAAAAUUACUUUUGGACUUCCUAAUGAUGAGCUACCAUAAAAUAAGGAAAUCCUUAUAUACAUAUAAUUAGGUUAUAGAUUUUGACCUUGGUAUCUGUGCAUUUGUACAGCAGAUCACAUAAUAGAAUCAUAAUUCUGAAUGAGGACAUUUAGGUACUGUUGUAAUAUAUGUUUAUGUUGGAAGUCUGAUCUAAGGUUUCCCUAACUUGUAUGAAUAUGUAUUAUGAUUUCCUAAUAUGUCUACUACUUAAAUAAUAAAACUUCUGUGUACAACCUGACAA